UAGGGAAUCUUCGGCAAUGGACGAAAGUCUGACCGAGCAACGCCGCGUGAGUGAAGAAGGUUUUCGGAUCGUAAAACUCUGUUGUUAGAGAAGAACAAGGACGUUAGUAACUGAACGUCCCCUGACGGUAUCUAACCAGAAAGCCACGGCUAACUACGUGCCAGCAGCCGCGGUAAUACGUAGGUGGCAAGCGUUGUCCGGAUUUAUUGGGCGUAAAGCGAGCGCAGGCGGUUUCUUAAGUCUGAUGUGAAAGCCCCCGGCUCAACCGGGGAGGGUCAUUGGAAACUGGGAGACUUGAGUGCAGAAGAUGAGAGUGGAAUUCCAUGUGUAGCGGUGAAAUGCGUAGAUAUAUGGAGGAACACCAGUGGCGAAGGCGGCUCUCUGGUCUGUAUCUGACGCUGAGGCUCGAAAGCGUGGGGAGCAAACAGG
This 429-nucleotide ribosomal RNA is filed under the name Gemmatimonadota bacterium. Its description in RNAcentral is "Gemmatimonadetes bacterium partial 16S ribosomal RNA". It matches the Rfam family "Bacterial small subunit ribosomal RNA", at positions 355 to 776 of the family's 1533-position model. Lineage: Bacteria; Pseudomonadati; Gemmatimonadota. The record is from RNAcentral.